Molecule: ribosomal RNA, 400 nt
Filed under: uncultured bacterium
Lineage: Bacteria
Description: bacterial SSU rRNA
Rfam family: Bacterial small subunit ribosomal RNA
Source: RNAcentral
AAUCAACGCUGGCGGCGUGCCUAACACAUGCAAGUCGAACGCGAAAGUCCCGCAAGGGAUUAGUAGAGUGGCAAACGGGUGAGUAACACGUGGGUGACCUGCCUUCGAGCGGGGGAUAACGUCCCGAAAGGGACGCUAAUACCGCAUAAUAUCCUGCCUUUUAAGAGGUGGUGAUCAAAGCCGGGGAUUCGCAAGAACCUGGCACUUGAAGAGGGGCCCGCGCCUGAUUAGCUAGUUGGGGGGUAAUGGCCUACCAAGGCAACGAUCAGUAUCCGGCCUGAGAGGGCGGACGGGACACACUGGGACUGAGACACGGCCCAGACUCCUACGGGAGGCAGCAGUGGGGAAUUGUUCGCAAUGGGCGCAAGCCUGACGACGCAACGCCGCGUGGAGGAUGAAG